CCUAGAGUAUGCGGGCUUUGCCUGCCAUCUCUUACCCAUGUCUUUUGAGUACCUUCGUUUCCUCGGCGGGUCCGCCUGCCGACUGGACAAUUUAAACCAUUUGCAGUUGCAAUCAGCGUCUGAAAAAACUUAAUAGUUG
Molecule: unclassified non-coding RNA, 139 nt
Filed under: soil metagenome
Description: partial internal transcribed spacer 1
Source: RNAcentral